CCAUACAACAUUUACAGAGUGGCAGGAAGACUUAGCAACCAUCAAGCUGUUAUAUCUGUUGAUGAGCAGAGGAUGCUCGGCACAAAGAAUUCAAGCUUUUGAAAAGGAAUCUGGCUACCAGCUGUACCAGGAGAGAUACUUACAGCAAGUAAGACUUAAAAAAUUGGACUACAGCAUGACCGGUAUCAAAGCCAGGUGCACUCGACAGACAAAUCAAAACAAGACACCAUAUGAAGUCUGGAUGAUUGCUUCUUCCACUGGUGACAGCACAGCUGGCUGUGUGUAUAGGAGAUGAUGGUUGAUGCAAACAUGCUGUUGCCCUCAUCUGUGCAGUGGUGGACUUCAUGGAAUGAUGUGGGAUACUGCCUGGAAGAGCAAAACUCACCUGAACUGACUUUGCUUGCACCUGGGACAAGCCUCAAAGGCAAAAAGUAAAUCUAAUGAAAUGCUUUGCAACACUGAGAACAGGUAUGUAUAUGAACUUGUAAUAAGUGUUGGAUAUCUUAUGUCUCUUGUAAAAAUUCAUUGAACUAAAACUUAUAUUUGGAGCAGCUGAUGUCAGUGUGGAUUAAAGCCAACAAGGGCAGUUGACAAUGUCAGGUCAUUGUUGGUGAUAGUACUGUACAGGUGCAGGUUAAUAUAGUGAAGGACAUUAGUGGUCAGGUGAGCUGAGGUGUAUCCGAAACCAGAAAUCAGAACUCAUACAUUGUGUCUUUUUUUUUUUUUUUUUUUUGUGAUUAGGUGAGCUGAGGUGUAUCUGAGACUAGAAAUCAUAACGCAUACAUUAUUUUAUUUUUUAUUUUUUUUCUUAUGAUUUUUCAGCUUGGUUGCAAGAAAGAGAACAUUCAGUAUGUACUCUGUAUCUCUAUACAGUGGUGCUAGUAGUUCAUAUGAAGACUGCAGUUCAAGGUACCACCAAUAUUGUACUAAUUUUCUUUCAUAUUAAUUUUUACAGCACAGGUGUAGGAAGGCAGACACCCAGUACUUUGAAACCUUAUAAUACUGGCAGUUAUAAACCCAUAUCUGAGCUAUAUUCCCCUUAUAACUGCUGCAAUUUCAAAAAAAUAUGGUGGGUGUCCUUAAUUGUCCAGUCAAUAUUUUGAAUUUUUUUAUUCUCUCAAUGGCAUGUUCUACAUGUACCCUCAGUGAAGCAAUCUCUCGUGUUUUCACAAUUUCAUUAGUGUUUAAUGCUCUUCUUUUACCAUCAGCUUUCUUCCUAGUCAAGGGUGGUAUGCACAAUUUUGCACCACAUUGCAGCAAUAGGUCUCCAAUAUUGAAGCCUCUAUCCACCAUUACAGCAUUUCCUGGGUCAAUUUUAUCUAGAAGUUCUGCUUCUGCUAUGUGCCUGUCAGAAGCAUUACCUCCUUAUGCAUGUGAAAUAAAAGUAAUAAUUCCAGUUGGUGUUAUGCCUACCAAAACUUUUGCAGUGUUGUGAUGCUUGUUUAGUGUAUAUGUCUUGGCCUGAGCAGUACAGUUUCUUGGCUUAUCAAUAAAAAACUCAGUACAGUCCAAGAUCACCCUGAUAUCUGCAUAUCUAGCAGGAUACCAUGCAAGUAAGCUGUUUCUUAAUUGCUGAGCUAUAAUGGCCAGUGUUGCAAUAUCUCAUACAAUACAUUUAUCCAAGUGUUGGUGAUGCAAGUGACAUGACUGAGAGAUUCCAAACAAUUCUGCUAAAAGCCAUGUUGUUAAGCCUUGACACAAACAUACUAAAGUCAGCAGGUACUCAUCAAAAUUAUCCAUAACAUUUUUACUGCCACCUAAACCUUUCUUGGUCAUUUUCUUUUGGAAAUGCCUUGGUCCUUUCCAGUACUCAAUUUUUUUUACUCUUUUUGUUAAUGACAUCAUAGAUGGCUGUCAAAGCAUUUCUACAAGGAAGACCUGUGUAUGCGCUCAUACUUUUAUCACUGGCAAGAAUCAUGUUUUGGGUCCUGGCUCUGCGAUCUGCAGCUGCUUCUCCAACCUCUGCCUCCUG
Molecule: long non-coding RNA, 1972 nt
Organism: Scylla paramamosain (green mud crab)
Lineage: Eukaryota; Metazoa; Arthropoda; Malacostraca; Decapoda; Portunidae
Exons: 2
Source: RefSeq, a predicted model, not a curated record